UACGAAGGGGGCUAGCGUUGCCCGGAAUCACUGGGCGUAAAGCGCACGUAGGCGGCUUUCUAAGUCAGGGGUGAAAUCCUGGAGCUCAACUCCAGAACUGCCUUCGAUACUGGGAAGCUCGAGUCCGGAAGAGGUGAGUGGAACUCCGAGUGUAGAGGUGAAAUUCGUAGAUAUUCGGAAGAACACCAGUGGCGAAGGCGGCUCACUGGUCCGGUACUGACGCUGAGGUGCGAAAGCGUGGGGAGCAAACAGG
This 253-nucleotide ribosomal RNA is filed under the name uncultured bacterium. RNAcentral's name for it is "partial 16S ribosomal RNA". It matches the Rfam family "Bacterial small subunit ribosomal RNA", at positions 524 to 776 of the family's 1533-position model. The record is from RNAcentral.